GCUGCGGCUGGCCACGGUGUUGCCGCUGCUGCUGGUGGCCGCCGAGGGGUUGAACAGCACGCCACAUCCGGUGGUGCCGGCCCAGCCCGCCGCG
RNAcentral lists this transfer RNA (94 nucleotides) under Micromonospora sp. MW-13. RNAcentral describes it as "tRNA-Thr". The record is from RNAcentral. Lineage: Bacteria; Bacillati; Actinomycetota; Actinomycetes; Micromonosporales; Micromonosporaceae.